Molecule: non-coding RNA, 129 nt
Organism: Lasiosphaeria miniovina
Lineage: Eukaryota; Fungi; Ascomycota; Sordariomycetes; Sordariales; Lasiosphaeriaceae
Source: the annotation of a RefSeq genome assembly
AGCAAGAUAGCCGAGCGGUCUAAGGCGCCACAUUGAGGAAUACAUCCCUUAAUUCACGAGCGAGGGAUCCCCCCCGCUCAUAUGAUUCCGUGGUUCGAAAGGGCGUGGGUUCGAAUCCCACUCUUGUCA